UUCCUCCUACAUCCACACCAACUCUUUCCACCAACUCUUUCAAUUGGCAUGCCAUUGUUGACUAAACAUAAACCAACACCUUCAUAUAUAUAUAUAUAUAUAUAUAUAAUUUCAGAAAAAGUAACAAAUUCAUUCUUAAUGUUUUCCUCAACAACUAAUACACUUAUGUGCAGGUUAUAUUUGUUGUUUAGUACUGCUCCAUUCAAGAUAGAACUCACUGGCAAUGAGUGCCCACGCCUUAGUGCAUUCCCUACACCGAAACAUAGCUUAAGCGAGGCGAAACACCAUCAGUAGCAUUUAUGAGCUUCGGGGCUUAAGCGCGCCUUAAAUGAGCCUUUGACAACACUGGAGAGUACAAGAGACUACUUCCAGAAUGCAAAACCUAAGAAAUAAAACUUAUUCCUUUAAACAUUUGUUAAUACUACUGAAAUUCCGAAUAAAGAAAAAUUAUACAGAACUUUGGCAGAGUGCAUACCUUGGUGAAAACGCGAAGCAAGAGUGGACAAGUCUGGUGUUGGGAUAGAAACCAAAAAAAAAAAAAAAAGCAAAAGAUUUCUUUAGUAACUAAUAGUAUGCAAAAAAAGAGAGGAUGUUUUUCAAACAUUGAACAGCACAUAGGAAUAAGAUGCCGAUUAUGCUAGCAUAUUAAUACAAGAAGAAAUAUUAGAUUUAGAGGUCCUCUAAAAUAAAAUUUAACGUAUAAUUAAGGAUACCAAAAAAGAAGAAGCAUUAUUUCUAAAACCUAGAGAUAAUACAACGUAACCUUGAAAGUUUUACAGGGAAAAGGAGAGGGAGACCUUUUCACGGUCAACGGGUUGGACCCGAGGGCCCAUUCUGAGGGGAGGAGGACCCGGUGGGACUCUCGCCGGAGGAGGAGGCAACGGUCUUCCCCUUCUCUGCACUUCCGCCAUUGCUCUCCGCUUUCUUGAUCUGUUUUACUGCACCAGAAGCAAUUUUACUCGUUUUUGCUUUUCGGGCCACUCUGUUACUCUCAUCCUAUGUUUAUGGGC
This 1010-nucleotide long non-coding RNA is filed under the name Nicotiana tabacum (common tobacco). Its description in RNAcentral is "long non-coding RNA (NTAB_LNC003251)". Lineage: Eukaryota; Viridiplantae; Streptophyta; Magnoliopsida; Solanales; Solanaceae. The record is from RNAcentral.